RNAcentral lists this ribosomal RNA (484 nucleotides) under uncultured bacterium. RNAcentral describes it as "partial 16S ribosomal RNA". It matches the Rfam family "Bacterial small subunit ribosomal RNA", at positions 29 to 507 of the family's 1533-position model. The record is from RNAcentral.
AUUGAACGCUGGCGGCAUGCUUUACACAUGCAAGUCGAACGGCAGCGCGAGCUUCGGCCUGGCGGCGAGUGGCGAACGGGUGAGUAAUGCAUCGGAACGUGCCCAGUAGUGGGGGAUAGCCCGGCGAAAGCCGGAUUAAUACCGCAUACGACCUGAGGGUGAAAGCGGGGGACCGAAAGGCCUCGCGCUAUUGGAGCGGCCGAUGUCGGAUUAGCUAGUUGGUGGGGUAAAGGCUUACCAAGGCGACGAUCCGUAGCUGGUCUGAGAGGACGACCAGCCACACUGGGACUGAGACACGGCCCAGACUCCUACGGGAGGCAGCAGUGGGGAAUUUUAGACAAUGGGGGCAACCCUGAUCCAGCCAUGCCGCGUGCGGGAAGAAGGCCUUCGGGUUGUAAACCGCUUUUGUUCGGGAAGAAAUCCUCUGGGCUAAUACCCCGGGGGGAUGACGGUACCGGAAGAAUAAGCACCGGCUAACUACGUG